GUCCACGCCGUAAACGAUGAGUGCUAGGUGUCACGGGCUUUGACCCUCGUGGUGCCGUAGCUAACGCAAUAAGCACUCCGCCUGGGGAGUACGGUCGCAAGACUAAAACUCAAAGGAAUUGACGGGGGCCGCACAAGCGGUGGAGCAUGUGGUUUAAUUCGACGCGACGCGCAGAACCUUACCUGGGCUAGAAACACAGGAACCCGGGUGAAAACUCGGGGUGCUCUUCGGAGAAUCUGUGGUUAGGUGUUGCAUGGCUGUCGU
RNAcentral lists this ribosomal RNA (264 nucleotides) under uncultured bacterium. RNAcentral's name for it is "partial 16S ribosomal RNA". It matches the Rfam family "Bacterial small subunit ribosomal RNA", at positions 793 to 1055 of the family's 1533-position model. The record is from RNAcentral.